RNAcentral lists this ribosomal RNA (820 nucleotides) under Clostridium perfringens. Its description in RNAcentral is "partial 23S ribosomal RNA". It matches the Rfam family "Bacterial large subunit ribosomal RNA", at positions 372 to 1192 of the family's 2925-position model. Lineage: Bacteria; Bacillati; Bacillota; Clostridia; Eubacteriales; Clostridiaceae. The record is from RNAcentral.
CCUGUAAGUGAAACGAGAAGACCACGAGUUAUGAUCCAGAGUACCACGAGACACGUGAAACCUUGUGGGAAGCAGGGAGGACCACCUCCCAAGGCUAAAUACUACCUGAUGACCGAUAGUGAAGCAGUACCGUGAGGGAAAGGUGAAAAGAACCCCGGGAGGGGAGUGAAAUAGAACCUGAAACCGUGUGCCUACAACCGCUCAGAGCCCCUUAUGAGGGUGAUGAGGUGCUUUUUGUAGAACGAGCCAACGAGUUACGGUAUGUAGCAAGGUUAAGUACUUAAGGUACGGAGCCGAAGGGAAACCGAGUCUGAAUAGGGCGACUAGUUGCAUGCCGUAGACCCGAAACCGGGUGACCUAUCCAUGGCCAGGUUGAAGCGAGGGUAAAACCUCGUGGAGGACCGAACCACGUUGCUGUUGAAAAAGCAUGGGAUGAGCUGUGGAUAGCGGAGAAAUUCCAAUCGAACCCGGAGAUAGCUGGUUCUCUCCGAAAUAGCUUUAGGGCUAGCGUCGAGUAUGAGUAGUGGAGGUAGAGCACUGAAUGGGCUAGGGGGCAUAGCGCUUACCGAACCUUAUCAAACUCCGAAUGCCACAUACUUUGAGCUCGGCAGUCAGACUACGAAUGAUAAGAUCCGUGGUCAAAAGGGAAACAGCCCAGAUCGUCAGCUAAGGUCCCAAAGUGUAAGUUAAGUGGGAAAGGAUGUGAGAUUUCUAAGACAACUAGGAUGUUGGCUUAGAAGCAGCCAUUCAUUAAAAGAGUGCGUAAUAGCUCACUAGUCGAGAGAUCUUGCGCCGAAAAUGUAACGGGGCUAAACUUACC